GCCCCGGUGGUCUAAUGGUUAUGACGGCGGAUUGUCAAUCCGCUAAUUCGGGUUCGAUUCCCGGUCGGGGCG
RNAcentral lists this transfer RNA (72 nucleotides) under Treponema sp. Its description in RNAcentral is "tRNA-Asp". It matches the Rfam family "tRNA". From Rfam's summary of the family: Transfer RNA (tRNA) molecules are approximately 80 nucleotides in length. The record is from RNAcentral. Lineage: Bacteria; Pseudomonadati; Spirochaetota; Spirochaetia; Treponematales; Treponemataceae.